This 241-nucleotide ribosomal RNA is filed under the name uncultured bacterium. RNAcentral describes it as "partial 16S ribosomal RNA". It matches the Rfam family "Bacterial small subunit ribosomal RNA", at positions 92 to 334 of the family's 1533-position model. The record is from RNAcentral.
CGACCGGCGCACGGGUGAGUAACGCGUAUGUAGUCUACCUGUAACAGAGGGAUAACCCGGAGAAAUCCGGACUAAUACCUCAUAGCACAUAUUAUUCGCAUGAAUUUUAUGUUAAAGAGACUCGGUUACAGAUGAACAUGCGUUCCAUUAGCUAGUUGGCGGGGUUACGGCCCACCAAGGCAACGAUGGAUAGGGGUUCUGAGAGGAAGGUCCCCCACACUGGUACUGAGACACGGACCAG